RNAcentral lists this unclassified non-coding RNA (384 nucleotides) under soil metagenome. RNAcentral's name for it is "partial contains 5.8S ribosomal RNA, internal transcribed spacer 2, and large subunit ribosomal RNA". The stretch from base 1 to 120 matches the Rfam family "5.8S ribosomal RNA", at positions 35 to 154 of the family's 154-position model. The record is from RNAcentral.
GAUGAAGAACGUAGCGAAAUGCGAUAGGUAAUGUGAAUUGCAGAAUUCAGUGAAUCAUCGAAUCUUUGAACGCACAUUGCGCCCUUUGGUAUUCCUUAGGGCAUGCCUGUUCGAGCGUCACUACACACCUUAUCACAAUAUUUGUGGUCUUGGCAGGAGUGAAUUGCUGGUCUAUGGAAGUAUUCCAGCAGUACACAAUGCUAAAAAAUAUGGGAAGGUUACCAGAUAUGAACAACAGACUUUGUAAAUGGUUGCAGGACCUAGAUCAGUCACAAGUCAUGUCUGGUCCCUUACCUUAAGGACCCCCAUCCUAGAUGAACUAUGGGUUGACCUCGGAUCAGGUAGGAAUACCCGCUGAACUUAAGCAUAUCAAUAAGCGGAGGA